UGGGGAAUAUUGCACAAUGGAGGGAACUCUGAUGCAGCGACGCCGCGUGAACGAAGAAGGCGCUCGAGUCGUAAAGAUCUUUUAUAGGGGAAGAUAAUGACGGGACCAUAAGAAAAAGCCCCGGCUAACUACGUGCCAGCAGCCGCGGUAAUACGUAGGGGGCUAGCGUUGUCCGGAAUCACAGGGCGUAAAGGGUUCGCAGGAGGAAAUGCAAGUCAGGUGUAAAAGGCAGUAGCUUAACUACUGUAAGCAUUUGAAACUGCAUAUCUUGAGAAGAGUAGAGGUAAGUGGAAUUUUUAGUGUAGCGGUGAAAUGCGUAGAUAUUAAAAAGAAUACCGGUGGCGAAGGCGACUUACUGGGAUUAUUCUGACGCUGAGGAACGAAAGCGUGGGUAGCAAACAGG
RNAcentral lists this ribosomal RNA (403 nucleotides) under Fusobacteriota bacterium. RNAcentral describes it as "Fusobacteria bacterium partial 16S ribosomal RNA". It matches the Rfam family "Bacterial small subunit ribosomal RNA", at positions 355 to 776 of the family's 1533-position model. The record is from RNAcentral. Lineage: Bacteria; Fusobacteriati; Fusobacteriota.